CAUCUCCAACUUGGAUGUUGCAACUGGUUCCCCUAAACGCAGUAUGCAUUAAUUGUUAAUUGUUGUUCAUGUUCCACAAGGGAGAUAGAAUUUUAUGAACAGAGAACAUGAGGAUGGUUAUUAUUUUAUACUAUUUUUAAAAAACUUCUCAAUGUCCUAAGUCCAAACUCCUUAGGCUCACAAACAAAGCUCUUAGUAAUCAAGCCCCAAACAACCACUUUCAGUUUUUUUAUGUCCACUUCUUUCUCCUUGGU
Molecule: long non-coding RNA, 254 nt
Filed under: Bos taurus (domestic cattle)
Lineage: Eukaryota; Metazoa; Chordata; Mammalia; Artiodactyla; Bovidae
Description: long non-coding RNA NONBTAT018489
Source: RNAcentral